RNAcentral lists this ribosomal RNA (411 nucleotides) under Amphiuma tridactylum (three-toed salamander). RNAcentral's name for it is "partial 16S ribosomal RNA". It matches the Rfam family "Bacterial large subunit ribosomal RNA", at positions 1985 to 2581 of the family's 2925-position model. The record is from RNAcentral. Lineage: Eukaryota; Metazoa; Chordata; Amphibia; Caudata; Amphiumidae.
GGCCUGUAUGAACGGCAAAACGAGGGCCCAACUGUCUCUUUAAACUAAUCAGUAAAAUUGAUCUCCUCGUGCAGAAGCGAGGAUACUAAUAUAAGACGAGAAGACCCUAUGGAGCUUUAGACCUAAACUACCUAAUUACCUCUAACAUAUAAUCAUUAGACUUAGCCAACGUCUUAGGUUGGGGCGACCACGCAGGAAAAAAAAUCCUACGAGAUGAACAAACAAAGAGAUACAUCUCUCUACCAUAAGAAACUUAACAUAAUUGAUCCAAUGUUUUGAUCAACGAACCAAGUUACCCUAGGGAUAACAGCGCAAUCCUUUCUAAGAGUCCAUAUCGACGAAUGGGUUUACGACCUCGAUGUUGGAUCAGGACACCCAAAUGGUGCAGCAGCUAUUAAAGGUUCGUUUGUU